This is a long non-coding RNA of Musa acuminata subsp. malaccensis (wild Malaysian banana), 379 nucleotides long. RefSeq lists it as uncharacterized. The record is from RefSeq and is a predicted model, not a curated record. Lineage: Eukaryota; Viridiplantae; Streptophyta; Magnoliopsida; Zingiberales; Musaceae.
GACCUGCAACCUCGACGCCGCACCAGGAAAGACAGCGAUCGAGAGGGAAAGCAUCGUAGGCUCGGCUGUUCCAUCGAGAUGAGAGCAAAGUGGAAGAAGAAGCGCAUGAGGAGACUCAAGAGGAAGAGACGAAAGAUGAGGCAGAGAUCCAAGUAGGGGGGUGGUCGGUCAUGGCUUCCUCGGUGGGAAGGUGCACUGUUGGAACUCUGCGUGGAGUGUUCCCUCGGUUGCUUUAAGAUUGUCGUCCAGCAACUUUAUAUUUUGCUUGUUAGGGUAAUGAUUUGUGGUUUGCUUUGACUAGUGAAAAAUGCUUAACAUUUGGAGACACGCUUAUUUAAUCUCUAUUUUGUCUUAUCGUAUAUGUGGUUUAAUUCGUGAU